AUGAGGACAAACUGGAUAUUGGAAUGUACCUUUAUUUACAUUGUUUUUGGAUGCUUGUGGACGAGCGUGGCUGCCUCUGAGGUCACGUGCUGCAAGGUGGUUUUCAAUAACCGCUCUGCUGCCUACAAAUUAAACGAGACCCCUGAAGCCAACUGUUCCACGAGGUGGAUCUUAAAAAAACUGGUGAUCGUUGACGAAACUGGAGAUCAGGAUCCAAAGAUCGUCCAGUACCGCGAGCAGAAGAAACUGAUCCUAAAUUCUGAUGAGUUAGACUUGUCCUACAACAUGGAGUGCCCACAUAGUGGGGUGUCCCUGAAUCUUAAUUGUACAGAUCCCUGUUUACCUGAGGACGAUGACAAUAAAGCGGGUCUGUUGCAUUUGACAAUUGUGGCAAUCAUUACAGCCAUGUGCCUUCCCGUCUUCCUUGUGAUCACGUGCCUUUGUAAGAAAAGAAAGAAAAUAACGUCUCCAUCACAGAACAUAAACCAAGAAAAUGCAGGGGAAGGAGUGGCAGAUACAGAGAGUGAGGAGAUGCUGUGACACUGUCAUCACAUAAGUGUCUGUGUUCAGACCCAUACGCCAUCCAGUUAAGCUGUGAUUUUCAGAAGACUGAUUGUGUAUGUACACAGACUGUGUUGUGUUGAUUUUGAUGAAGCUUCUCUGUCACUAGUCGGUUUACAUGCGCUUCCUAAUCUGAUUAUAAACAAUUUACUGCAGUUAUCUGAUUAUUCGAGUAGACUGUAAACAGCAUACCGAUAUCUUAGAUUGGAAUAAGGAAUAAGAUUGGAGUAUUUUUGAGUCUUGAUGUGUGAACAAAAACACAGCAUGAUUUAUUUCCUGUUAUGCUCAAAGCACACCUAUGAUUAAUUAAGAGAAUUUGUACAUGCGCACAAGUUACACUUUUGCCGUCCUCGGCGUUCCUAAACACACACCGCCCUAAAUUAAUCUGUGCGCGAUUGAUGGCUCACCUAUAGAUCACUAAAAAUGGGCCCAAAUCUGCUUUCCCACUUUAAUGUACAUGUGUUGAUCAGAUUACUGACGUUCUGCAGUAAUCGGAUUAUGAAGUUCAUGUAAACAAAUGACCUAAUUUAAACUAUGACAAAGGCUUCCAAAGGGCCUUUUGAGGUUUAGGUCAUUUUAUUUUUUUAAAAUAUUAAAGCGUCAUACAUCAUAGCAUUUGAAUGUGUUUGUUAUUCAAGCUGUGCCUAAAUGCUUGGUAAUUUUUUUUACCAUAUGUAAAAGCAUAUAGUUGCCUGUCUCUCAACACUGAUGCUGCAUUCGAUAGUGAUCUUGGAUUUGGUUGCAUUCAAAAAACUGGACUUUUCAGACCUGAGAUUUUAGAGUAGUCAUUUACUUUAGGCUCAAUAUGAAAGGAGUGGUGUGUCAAAUAUUAAAACUUUUUUGUCGGUUUCCUGAACAGGAAUUGCAUUUCAAUGAAAAAAUUCUGUUGAAAUUGCUGUCUAGUCUGAAUCCCUGUCUAAAAAACGUGUGUGUGUUCUAAGCUUACCUAUUAAGUUCUUAAUUUAAACGCACACAACAAAUACCGAAAACAUUCCCUCAAAACGGCUCCUCUGAUUUUGGUUCCUAUUGAAGAUUUUUUUCUUUUUCUAAACAGAGUAAAAAGUGUUUUCACUGCUAGUAAAGCAUUCUAACAUCAUCAGAACAAUCUCAUAUCUAAAUCUGCAUUUUUCCCUUCAAAAGAAAUAGAGAGGUAAUGCUACUUACCUAGCAUUUUCUUAAUUAUGUAAAAGCUUUUGGACAGGUUGUGAUCAUUAAUAGAAUGCAAAAAGCAUAUUGAAGCAUUAUAUAUUGUUUAUAAUGAUUUGCUGAGUGACAUCAGUCAUCAGUCCAGCGUGCAAGCUGUCUACUAUAUGUAAAUAAUGUCUGUUAGUGACUCAUUGUGAGCUGAUUUUAUCACUUGCAGUGUCAGGUGAUGUGUCACACCCUCAACAAACCUACAUUAUGUCAGUGUUUGGAAAUGCAGCCUUCUCGUCUUACCUAUGCUAGUAACAAUUUUAACAACUGCAGAAAAAGUAAAGAUGCAUUGGAUGUUAUUAGCAUAGCCUUUCCUUACAAUAGAAACUGCAUUUAAAAUACAUUUAGGAUAUAUUUAGAAAAAUUAAUAUUGGAAUGAAUAUAUCUUUGUUCUGGAAGCAAGCUUUUCGAAAUCUGACUAGAUACAUAAUUCCAGUAUUCUUAAUAUGUAUUUCCAAUACUGUUUAUUUUUCUUUUUUUUAAUGUAACAACUAUCUUUGAUGCCUUUGUGAUUUAUUAUCUGAAUCUGUUUUUUCUGCACUUAAAAAAAAAGAAUUAACCAAUAGAAAUGUGCCAAAAUGGCUUGGAAUAAAACCUGUUACAAUGUCUUUUUACUGGAACA
Molecule: long non-coding RNA, 2377 nt
Filed under: Astyanax mexicanus (Mexican tetra)
Lineage: Eukaryota; Metazoa; Chordata; Actinopteri; Characiformes; Acestrorhamphidae
Description: lncRNA (ENSAMXG00005015471.1)
Source: RNAcentral